Molecule: long non-coding RNA, 934 nt
Filed under: Setaria italica (foxtail millet)
Lineage: Eukaryota; Viridiplantae; Streptophyta; Magnoliopsida; Poales; Poaceae
Description: long non-coding RNA (SITA_LNC004079)
Source: RNAcentral
UUGUCUUUACAUUAGCUCAAAAUGCCCAACUUGGACCAAAGAAGUUUUUUUUCCCUGGAAAUUGGAUAUCAUCAGUUGGCCUCCAUAUUAAGAUAUGCUAUUUAGAACACAAAUACCAUGGCUUCAUAAACCAAGGAACGUGCAAAUGCUAUAGCAGUGACCUUAUUUAAUAAGCACACAAGACACUCGUGGCCGAAAAAUGAAAAAGUUCAAACAUGAGAGCCUGAAAGACUACAUCCCUGUCUUGCCAUGGCAAACAAAAAAGGAGUAUCCACAACAUAGUACAUAUCAGAAACUUUAAUUACCUGCAGGUAUAUGUUGGUCAUCUUUAAAGCUACGAAUCAUCUGACAAGAAGCAUCAAGGUUAACAAAAAAAAUUGUGGAGGUGGGGGUAGUGGGGGCACGAGUGUCCCUUCCCACCAACACGUGCCUAAGCUUGAUGGGAUGCUGAUAUGCAUUGUAAGAAACAUUAAAAUGCAAUAAAUGAAUAAGCACAAAAAAUUGUUACCUUUCCUCUUAUUUGAGUAGAACCUUGUAUAAGCUCAAACAGUUUUCAGCCUUUCUUUCUUUUCUUGUACUGGUUACAACUUACUUAAUAUUUUCAAUUCCCCCUAGCUUAAUUAUCCUGAAGUAUCAAUCGAAAUUUCAUUGUGAUAACAACAGCAAUGUAAAAGGUUCCAUCACAAGGAGUAGAUCAAGGACACUAAAUACAGAAGAUUAAUAUCUAGGAUAAAUCUAACAGUUCCAGCUGUCUAUUUCCUGAGAUAACUCUGGCCAUCCAGUGACUUUGAAAGUUAAGCUGGAAAAUGUAGUCCAACUUGUUCACUCACCUAAGGGGACCAGGAAAGCUAAAAACCAAUGGACAAGAUCAGCUUCAUUUCCAUAAUGCCAGAUUUCCAACUCAGUAAUUUUCCUCAUUUAAGCACCUGCAAUG